Molecule: long non-coding RNA, 1130 nt
Organism: Neogale vison (American mink)
Lineage: Eukaryota; Metazoa; Chordata; Mammalia; Carnivora; Mustelidae
Exons: 2
Source: RefSeq, a predicted model, not a curated record
ACACGUUUGCUCUCAACUCCUCCCCGCCAAACCCCGGUGAGGUGGGCACUUCUUGUUGCACUUGAAAAAUGAGAUAACUGAGCCACACAGAGGAAUUAAGUCACAUGCUGGAGUCUCGGGCUUCACCACUCAGGCCAUGCUGCAGGUGCUCUGGGGUGAAACAUGGUGCCUGCCCUUCUAGAUUCCCCAGGGAUGCAGAGGUAGGGGUUUCCCCACCUCCGGGGUUAGGGAGCAAAGGGAACACCCAUCCAUUCCCUCCUGCGCGGACAAAACCGUAACUGGAGGACAUCGGCAAGAAGGACCUUUCUCUUCUCCUUGAGAAUUCAUCUCCAGAACCUUCUGGAGAAUGGCUCACUUGGGAGGAGGGAGAGGAAAAGUGGAAGAAGAGGAGGUGUCCCAACUCAUGACUUCCACAUGCUCCUGCUUCUCUGAAAGGCUCAACAACUUCCACUGAGGAAAGCACAUUCUCUGACACUCCCAAAGAGAGGCCUGGCGGAAGGCCACCAGGCAUGGAACGGGCUCCCCACUAUUCCAGAAGACGCCAUGAAGGGUUCAAGUUCGUCUUCUGUCACCCGCACCCUCUUUGCCCCUCAGCUUCUCAAGAGCACAGGCCCACCUCUCUCAUUCUUCCCGAAAUCCUCCCAUCACAGACAGACCCAAUCGUGUGAUAAAUAAAUCGUACUUGGUGUAGGCCUCUUCAGGGAAAAAAAAAAAAAAAAGAGUUGACACAGCAGGCCCAAGUGCUUUUCUCAGAAAGGCCUACUUACAAAAUUGGCUCUUGGCUAGUGUUUGGGAAGCUGGAUUUUCAGAGGGUUCCCACCAUUCAGUGAUUGCUCAUCUGUGUUCCUAAACUAUAUAAAUAACAGUUUAUGCGGAACACCUGCUCUCCUUCUGGGGGGCUGAAAGCGGGGACCGUGCCAGCCAGAGACUGCCUUGGUGACUGACAACCUCCAAAGACUCUGGGCCCUGAGUUUCUAAUGAGCUUCCUGGUUGGCAUACUUCACAGGUCACAACUCAUUGUUGGGCAUUGCAGGUCUGCGACUUCCCUGCAAAGGGGCCCAGUAGAAGCUCAUGCCUGCUCUCCUGUGUUUUGUAUUUUUUCGCUGUAAUAAAUCAUAACUGUGAGCAUA